RNAcentral lists this ribosomal RNA (451 nucleotides) under uncultured bacterium. RNAcentral describes it as "partial 16S ribosomal RNA". It matches the Rfam family "Bacterial small subunit ribosomal RNA", at positions 29 to 523 of the family's 1533-position model. The record is from RNAcentral.
AGCGAACGCUGGCGGCAGGCCUAACACAUGCAAGUCGAGCGGCCGUAGCAAUACGGCAGCGGCAGACGGGAGAGUAACACGUGGGAACACGCCCUUCGGUUCGGGAUAACCCAGGGACACUUGGGCUAAUACCGGAUACGCCCUUACGGGGAAAGAUUUAUUGCCGAAGGAACGGCCCGCGUCCGAUUAGCUAGUUGGUGAGGUAACGGCUCACCAAGGCGACGAUCGGUAGCUGGUCUGAGAGGAUGACCAGCCUCACUGGGACUGAGACACGGCCCAGACUCCUACGGGAGGCAGCAGUGGGGAAUAUUGGACAAUGGGCGCAAGCCUGAUCCAGCCAUGCCGCGUGGGUGAUGAAGGCCCUAGGGUUGUAAAGCCCUUUCAGCGGGGAAGACAAUGACGGUACCCGCAGAAGAAGCCCCGGCUAACUUCGUGCCAGCCGCCGCUGUAA